CCCUUAGAUGUCCUGGGCCGCACGCGCGCUACACUGACGGAGCCAGCGAGCUUACCCCUUUGCCGAAAGGCAUGGGAAAUCUUUUGAAUCUCCGUCGUGCUGGGGAUAGAUCAUUGCAAUUAUUGAUCUUGAACGAGGAAUUCCUAGUAAGCGCAAGUCAUCAACUUGCGUUGAUUACGUCCCUGCCCUUUGUACACACCGCCCGUCGCUCCUACCGAUUGGGUGUGCUGGUGAAAUGUUCGGAUCGGCCGUUUGUCGCGGUUUCCGCGUCAUGUGGCUGAGAAGUUCAUUAAACCCUCCCACCUAGAGGAAGGAGAAGUCGUAACA
This 327-nucleotide ribosomal RNA is filed under the name uncultured eukaryote. RNAcentral's name for it is "partial 18S ribosomal RNA". It matches the Rfam family "Eukaryotic small subunit ribosomal RNA", at positions 1470 to 1796 of the family's 1831-position model. The record is from RNAcentral.